Molecule: long non-coding RNA, 7006 nt
Filed under: Equus caballus (horse)
Lineage: Eukaryota; Metazoa; Chordata; Mammalia; Perissodactyla; Equidae
Description: lncRNA (ENSECAG00000049275.1)
Source: RNAcentral
UAUUUCUAGACUUCACCUCCUAUCACCAAAUUAGAGCUGAAAAAAGGUUCUGAAGCUUUUGUCUGUCUGACGGGGCAGAGGUGGAAUUCAUGCUCUGUGACAGUCUUAUUUGCUUUUGCGGGAGGCUGGAGCGUUCUUAUUCCAUAUAACAUACACGACACUCUCCCUUCCUUAACUUGAUUCUCCACACUUCCCACACACUCUCUUUUUAUUUAUUUUUUUAACCCAAAAGAAUACCGUGUUCCCUGCUCUCUUCAUAUUCACAUUGGGGGAAAAACAGCAGGCUGUCGGACAGAGGCGGCUAUUAAUAAAUUCUGGAUAACAGGCACACAGCUCAAUCCAAGGUACCCCCAGGGAGAUAGAAGGGAUGGAAGAAACAACGCCAUGCUGGGGAGGAUGGGGGAGGACCCUCUCAGCAAUAAAAACAAGGUUAGAAUAGAUAUCCUACGAUUCUGCAGCUAGACAGAAGCAAAAUAAAUGGAAAAUAUUAUCCCUAAGCUCUAGUGGCUUGUCUCUGAAGAAUGGCCUCUUUACUUCCAUCUGCUUGCAGGGUCCUUCCCAAAGGUCCCUCACAUAUGUGUCCAGAACCAAGAUCUGGGGGGCCUCAGUCCCUCUCGCUCAGGCCAAGGUGGACAGUUACAUCAACCUGGGAGUUUGGCCUCAGACUGUCAGGGAUCCGUGAUGAGGGUUGGUUCCCAGGGCUUAUCCUGGGAAUUGGUGCUGGGGAUUCUGGAAUAAGUAGGAUCGAUCGAACUUCUAGCUGGAUUAUCUAGCACCAAUUUGCAUCUAAAUUUCUAUAGUGUUGUAGGCAGAGCCCAGGCCCGGGAGGCAACCUGCCUGGUUUCAAAGUCCAGUCCUACCACCUACAAGCUCUUGUAAGUCACAUAACCUCUUCAUACCUCAGUUUGCUCAUCUGUGGAAUGGGGGAGCAGUGGAAUCUACUGUAUAGGUUGGUUGGAAGGCUUAAGAGAGUUAAUACACGUAAAGUCUUAGAACAGGGCUGAGCACGGACAUGCUAUGACUCUGUUGCUAUUAUUAUCUUUACCAUUUCAGAGACCUGGCACCCCAUUUUAUUAAGAAGCAACCUGAUUCAGCGGAUAGAACUUUGUGGCAGGACACUGGGGAUCUCCAGCCCAGCAUCCUCUCUGCCCAGACAUUUUGUGUGGGUGUGGGGCGUGGUCUCUGACCUUCUGGAUCCCACACUGUUGAUCUGUAAACUGGGAGCUAUGAUGCCUGGCUUAGGGGUGGAUUUCUUUGGAUUGCUGUGAAGAUAACAUUAGAUGCAAAAUGCCCCUGAUCUAAGCAGAUAUAACAAGCACAGGGAAAGAAAGCAUCUAAAAUCGCUGAAUCAGCCCAAAGCAGCCGGCGCGAACCGUGGAGAGUCCUAUUUAUUCAGAGGCAUGCUGGUUUGAGCUCAUCUGGUGAGGAGUCCAUCCCCGCUAGAGCGAGCAUCGUGCCUUCUCUCGCUCAUUCUUCAGCUAAUUCCCUACAGGUGCUGUGUCCUGGAGUUGUUUUGUUCAAAAUAUGUCUCUUUUCCUCCUUAGCAAAAUAGAGCAGAGUUGACAAGAUGUUCUGAUAAUUACUCCCUGAGCAAUAAAUCACUCUGCAGCUGAACUGUGUUCACUCCACGUGGGGCGUGAAUACGUUUCAAGGGAAACCCUCUCCAGACAAAUGGCACGAAGUGCGGUGAUUACAGAGUAAACAGACUCGACGACCUGGCUGUUUCCAGCCUGGUGCUGACUGCUAGGCUGGCGGGCACUGUUAACAGCCCCUGGGAAGUUGCUGGAGAGAGAGAGGGAAUUGGCUCCUGGCUCUGCUGCUGUCUGGCCUUGGGAGAACUGGAGGAAAUAAGCACAGAAAGGAGGGUUUUCAGUUUCUGUUCAUUCACUCGUUCAUUUAUUCACUCACUGAUUCAUCAGACCCAGGCUGACAGCUGGCCAGCACAUGCCCAUGCGGGUGACCAGUGCUUCCAGCCAGCAUCCGUCUGAUGGAUCUGUCCUGACCGUUGUUGCCUUUGCUGUACCAUACAUUGUGAAUAUUGCCCUGUUAAUCAAAUUUUAUUAAGCACUCACCAUUCUAUAAGCACAACGGAAAGUACUGGAAAUAUAAAAGUGAAUGGCCUGGUGCUUGUCCUCAAGGAAUAUACAAACUAGUGAGGAAAACAUAGCUGUUUAAAGAAAACAAAGCCCCUAAAUUCAAUACAAGAAGUAGCAGCAGAGUCAGUGUUUGAAGGACUGGACCUGGUGGGUGGGACCUUGAGGAAGGACAAAAAGAGUUGCAAGAGCGUGGUCCAUUCGGAAACGGUAGUGGUUUAGUGUGGAGGAGGGUAGGGGGAGCUGGAGUGGCCUGAGCUGAGCGUGGGAAAUGGCAGGCAGCACAGAAGAGCUUGAACUGAUUCUUGCAAUUCCCUUGCUAAAAUGUUUAGGCAGCAGAGUGACGAGAUCAUAUUUGCAAUUUAGAAAGACCUCUCUAGCUUGAGGAGGAAAUAAUAGAAGGGGCAAGAGAGGGAGACACUUAGAAAACACCAUUUAUUCAUUUAUUCUUUCUUUCAACACCUAUUUUUUGAAUGCCUCCUAUGUGCCAGGUAGCAAGCUAGGUGCUGGGGGUAUAGUAGAGGCUAAAACAGCUUACAGUUUAGUGGGAGAGUUGGGUUUAAAUAAAUAGACACAAAAAUACAAAUAUAUUUACAAACUGUGGUCAGUGCUGGGGCUGAGAGCAGGGAAACCUGUUGGGAAGCUGGUUCGGUUGUUCCUGGCAGGGAAGAGGCGGUGGCAUUGGAAAUGUGGGGAAGACAGCUGAUUGGAGAUGUGUUUUGGAGUUGAAGUUGGCAGGACGGCGGCCAUCUGGGUAAGAUGAUGGCGGCCAUCUGGGUAAGAUGAGAUGAGGCUGUGAAUCAGUUCAGUGGGAGGCAGCAUGGAUUGGAAAGAGGUUUAGGAAGGGAAAUCCAUAGGACUUCCUGCUGAGUGGUGUGGGGGGUGGGUCAGGAAUGGUAGAACCUGGAAUGAUUUCUGGUUUUCUGGCUCUGUAACUUGGACAGACAGAGGCGCAAUGAACCAUAGAUGGGAGUGGACUGAUGGCUACUCUAGUCCCAAGGUGUGUUGGAGAUGCCCAUGGCACAUCAGAGAGAGAUGUCUAUCCAGCAGGAAGCUGAUAAAUAAAUGACAAGCAAUAGGAUAUAUUGGAGUAUUUGAGGAAACCAUUUGGUGUAAAACUAAUUUGGCCUGACUUCAUUUUCCCAAAAGGGCCUGACGUGGCCGUGGAGCAUGCAUUGUAUAUCUGCUUUAAGCAUUUACUAUGUCCCAAAGAUAAGAAAAAAUGGCCUUAAGAUAAAGAUGCAACUUCCCCCACAUUGGUAUUUCCUUAAGGAUAAGCAUCUGUCUAGCCUAGGAAUUGAUUGCAGGCUGCUGUACUCACCCUGUGACCACCUAGCUAGAGACCACAGACCUGCUACCUGCUGGGUUCAUCAAUUGCUUUGUGAAUCACUGUCCUGGUGAGGCAAUCUCAUGACUGUUGUAGAAGGAACAUUCCAGUCACAUGUGGUACAUACUCUUUGACAGUGUACAACCACCCUGUACACCCCCAAUUCUUUGGAGUGCUCCAUUCCUUUGUGAAAGGACUCUCCCGGCUGUAUGGUCCUCAGAUCUGGCUCAUAAUAAACUCACCCCAAUUUUGAUUUAUAGAUUGGUUAUGGAUUAUUUGUGUUGGAAGAGGCAAGGCUUGGGCUGGGAAUUGUAGCAUAUAGGAAGCAAAGUAUGAGGGUGGAUGAGUUCACCCAGAAUGUGUGUUAGAUUUGGGCAAAACCACUGUCGAGCCAGGCGCCUCAAAUGUGGAGGAAUCCUGUGGUGCCAAGUGCCACCGUUUCAUCAAACAUGAAGGCAAGAGCUAAAUAAGAAUGGUGGUCAAUUAAUAACUGCAUCUUAAUAUCUUUCUAUACUCCCCAAGUGACCCAAAGUUGGGGAACAGUCUCAAUUUAAUGCAAGUUCGUUCUUUUCAUUGAAAACCCGUUACCUCGUUAGCCAUGGUUAUCUCUGGGAAAUGAGAUUGGGAAGAAGUGGUUCAGGGGAAAAUAUUACUUCAUAUGUUACAAAAUUCUUUGUUUUUUAAAAAGUUUUGUUCUCAACAACCAAAUACUUCUUAUUUCUUAUAUAAACAAGAGAUAAGUGCUUUUAAAUACUUGAUUGCAGUAAGACUGGGCUUCCUGUCAUAUGUCAAAUAAAAUUUAUCUGCCACAAAAACUUAAAAGGGUGCACUGCCAUAAGAGUUUUCAUACACAUAAAUUUUUAAAGGAGAAAAGAAAUUACUCCCCCCACUGCGUCAGAGUUUCAUUUCCUGACUUGGCCACUGCAAAUGAGGUUUGGUGAAUUGGAGGUGACAGGGGAAGAAGAGACCAGGACACCUACACAUUGAAUAGCAGCACUCCAGGGUCCUUGCCCACAGCUGAAGACUUGUUCUGGGUUAUCUGUUCCUUCCAGAAACGGACUGAAAUGUGUUCUUAACACAGGGAGGGUUUUCUCUGAAGUCACAGAUGGUAGAAUUCUUUGGGUGACAAUACAUUAAGUGGAAGUAGAGAUGGGAGUAGGUGGCCUUGCAAAUAGUGACCAUUGCUGAGAUUCCACCUUGUCUCGGACCUGCAGAUGUCUGCUGCACGUUGGUGGUGCCUCUGCAAAUAACCCUUCCAGGCUGCCUCUGUGUGUUUAAGUGGCCCAUUGGAAAACAGGAGAGGACCCAAGCCUGUGUAGGUAAGGAUUUCUUUCCUAGGGAAACCUGAACAGUCAGAUAUUUUCUUCUUUAAUGGAGAAUCAUUCAGUUGUUUAUCACUCAGGGAAACUUACCCACCAGAUUCCUUUCUCCAGCUCUGCUUAGAUUGGUGGUUGUUUUUUCCCUGGGGUCAAGGACUGUUUUGAUUAUCUCAUUCCUUCUACAAACUAGGGGAGAAUAUUAAAAGAUUGUGGCUGAUUGUGGAGUUCCUUUUGCUAUGGUUAACACUCAGUAACAUUCUUAGAGAAAGACAAAAUGUGCUAAUGAGAUUCUUUUGAAAAUCAAGAUGAAAGGCAUUUUUGCAGAAAGGAACUUAAGCAUUGGGUUUACCGUUGAAUAAAAGAGGUAAGAGCGGCCGGUGGGAUCAACCGGGAUUCAACUGGAGUAUAGAUUCUCAGAUGUGACUGUUAGCGGUGCUCUGCUUUAGUUCAAUUGCAUGUUUUAUUCUUAAACAAAGAAAAAGGAAAAAAGCCAUGUUAAAAAAAGAUCAGGGUAAGAAAACGGUAUUAAUUCCAAUGAAAGCUGACUUUUCUCUUUGAGACAUCUGCUUGUUCUGUGCCACCUCGCUGUAUAGGGCCACUACUUGUAGGUUAGUAGUGGGAGGAGCAACUGAUGAAUACAAUGAGGCAAAAGAAAAACCAGGCAAUUGGUUAACUCAUUUUUUUGUGCAUCUGUGCCUUAGCCAUUUGAUUUGUCAUAUCUUAGAUGGAUGCUAAUAAGUUAGCAAAUUUCUCCUGUUUUUGUGAUACUGCACUGGAAAACCGAGGGAGAAAGGAAAAAUAAAUCAAAGAAAAUGCCCUUUCCUUCAUCUAAUGGAGAGAUAAAUUUACUCAAAAUGACGUUUAGACAUUUCUGAAACUAUUUUAAAGGAAGUGAGCUGCUUAGGAAUUGAGGAGCUAAAUUUAGAAGACUAGAAACGGAGUGAACUUCGACGCUCUUUAUGUUUUGAUUGCAAGUAGGAGCCCAGGGUCGUGCCCUCACUCCUAAGAGAUGGGCAGAUUGUAGUAGAUAAGGUCAAUGAAAUGGAUAAAGCUUUAAGUCCCUGUUUCUGAUGACCCUGAAUUAGUGCCACCUCGCACGAUCCUGAAUCCACAAUGGCUUGCUCAAGCAUGUAACCAGUUCAGGAAGCUCAAGGUCUGGGUCUUACAUAACAACUGGUUCCUGGGCCGCCAGCCUGGGAAAGUGCAGGUCCAUUCAGUGCUGCAAACACUUACUGGAUGUCUCCUGUCUGGAGAGCGAUCUGUUGGACGCUGCAGAUUCAGAGUUUCCUGCAUGUCCAGGUCUCACUAGACUACAUGAAUUUUCCAAAUUAUGGUCACUUGAAUCCUCACCUGCUUGGUUACAGGAAAAUCCAUCCCCCUCCCCAGGAAUAUCUGGGAAGCCUCAGGAAUUUCUUAGAUGCUUCCUAAUCUCUGUUGGCUGCCAGGUCAGCCACCACGUAGCUCAUAGCCACAUAGCCACAAUCUACUGUGUCCAAGGCUAUGCAGGCUCUUCUGCAAGUCCCCUCCUGCAGUCCUGAGAGCCCCCCUCUCCUGCUGCUGCUUUCCCUGCUUCCUCAGUCUCCCAGCUUCCUUAGUCUCCCCCUUCCUCAGUUUCCCCCUUCCUCGGUCUCCCGUACACUGUGACUUUCAACUAGCCUUCGCUGAAAUUGCAGGUGCCUGGCCACCUCACAUACAUACCCUAAGGUAUAUAUAAGGUGCGUCACUGAAUUUUCAUUUCCUGUCCCCAAGAUCUCUGUCUUCCCACGUUGGUUGACAGUGGCAACUUCUGCUCCCUUCAAAGGAAUUGCCCAACCCUCAACCCCUUUUAGAGUGGUUUUACCUUAUGGUGCCCUAAAAGAAAUUUCAUGGAAAUAUUAUAAUCCAUCAUUAGCAUUUCCCCAAGUCUGAGUUACUUAACCUAAAAUGACACCACGAGUAGGACAUCAGCCUGGAUUGUUCUCAGCCUAGUCCAGUCUGGUUCCUUCCUAUUGACUUUCUUUCAAUUUCAGGUGAAGUUUAGGCCUGUUCCUUCAUUCCAAUAUCUUCAGGAUUGUAGCUUCUUGUCUCUAGGGGGAGCCUACCUGAGCUGGAACACUGGGAUACACUCUCACGCACACCUCUGCAGGAUCAGCGAUGGUCAGCGAAAAAAGUCUGAACCAAACAGAGGAAGGAAAUCUUGUAAAGGAGUGGUAACAUCUGCUGAGAUCAAAUUCAAGUAAAAUCACAAAAAUAUUCAUUCCCAAAGAGAGCACUUGGACUUCUCCUUG